This is a long non-coding RNA of Acyrthosiphon pisum (pea aphid), 1099 nucleotides long. RefSeq lists it as uncharacterized. The transcript is spliced from 3 exons. The record is from RefSeq and is a predicted model, not a curated record. Lineage: Eukaryota; Metazoa; Arthropoda; Insecta; Hemiptera; Aphididae.
UAUUAUUGUGAUUAUAAAUGAUUUUACAUUUAACAUUUACUUGAUGAAUACCAGUAGUUGCUGGCAAUGCCAAGCCAAUCCGAUUGAUAUGUUAUUUUUACUUGUAAAGUUAUUACUCUGACUAUAUUUAAUUAUUUAUUAUGUAUAAUAGUAGAACCAGAGAUACUCCAUAUUCCAAAUAGUUAUACUACUCGGCUGUCCAAAAACAUAACACAGUAACUACAUUUUGUAAAAUUGUUCAGGAGAGCCAUUUUACUAAACGUUCACAGGCCUAAUCAUAUGAUAAGCUCGUGUGGUUAUUUGCUUGUAAGUCGAUGAAUAAUCCAAAGAAUCCAAAGAAAAAAAUAUGGUUAAAUUCAGCGUGACUAGAUGUCAAUGAGGAUACAAAAAAGUCGAUUUUGAUAAGAACGUUAGUUACUGUGUUAUGUUUUUGGACAGCCGUACUGUGUUUGGGGUACAAAGGACUACAGAAAUAAUCAGAUGAAGUCGGCUUCUUAUACCUACUAAAAAAAUACAACAACUGAAACUAAAAUCACAACCAUCCAGUUAGACCAUUUGAUAGAAACGUACCAUUAAUUCGGCAAAAUAUAACUGAAAAGGCAUUACGAAAAACUGUCUAAUCAUAUACAUUUUGUGGUAUAUACAAAAUACUUGUAGGCCUUAUAAGAGUGCUGAGAAGAUGGUUUAAUGUGUGUGUUUUGCAGCAAUACCCAGAAACCUUGCAGAGUUGCUUUAUUUGUUGGUAGCUGAUGAAAACAAAAAGUAUAUUCCGACUCUCCAAAACCUUUUUUCUCCGAUUCGAAGUUGUUUCAAUUUGUAUACGUUGUGACUGUUGUGGGUCACCACUUUUAUUAUUUCUUUCUUCUAAAUUAUAUGAUUUAAUUUGUUAAUAAUGUUUAAAAAACAUACAACGAAAAUUUUGAACCUAGCACAACACAGGGUAUAUGUACUCACAAAAUAUAUAGAAAUGUUUUUGAUUGCAUUAGAGUCUGCUUCUAUUUAGUAAUUACUUUAUAAUAUUAUAAAAUAACAUUUAUUUAUUAUAUUAUAUAUUAGAGCAACCCAAACAGCCAUGUAAUAAUGAAUGUAAUAACGGAAC